UGCUACAGGCUUAACACAUGCAAGUCGAGGGGCAUCAGGAAGAAAGCUUGCUUUCUUUGCUGGCGACCGGCGCACGGGUGAGUAACACGUAUCCAACCUGCCCUUUACUCGGGGAUAGCCUUUCGAAAGAAAGAUUAAUACCCGAUGGCAUAAUGAUUCCGCAUGGUUUCAUUAUUAAAGGAUUCCGGUAAAGGAUGGGGAUGCGUUCCAUUAGGUUGUUGGUGAGGUAACGGCUCACCAAGCCUUCGAUGGAUAGGGGUUCUGAGAGGAGGGUCCCCCACAUUGGAACUGAGACACGGUCCAAACUCCUACGGGAGGCAGCAGUGAGGAAUAUUGGUCAAUGGGCGCUAGCCUGAACCAGCCAAGUAGCGUGAAGGAUGAAGGCUCUAUGGGUCGUAAACUUCUUUUAUAUAAGAAUAAAGUGCAGUAUGUAUACUGUUUUGUAUGUAUUAUAUGAAUAAGGAUCGGCUAACUCCGUGCCAGCAGCCGCGGUAAUACGGAGGAUCCGAGCGUUAUCCGGAUUUAUUGGGUUUAAAGGGAGCGUAGGUGGACUGGUAAGUCAGUUGUGAAAGUUUGCGGCUCAACCGUAAAAUUGCAGUUGAUACUGUCAGUCUUGAGUACAGUAGAGGUGGGCGGAAUUCGUGGUGUAGCGGUGAAAUGCUUAGAUAUCACGAAGAACUCCGAUUGCGAAGGCAGCUCACUGGACUGCAACUGACACUGAUGCUCGAAAGUGUGGGUAUCAAACAGGAUUAGAUACCCUGGUAGUCCACACAGUAAACGAUGAAUACUCGCUGUUUGCGAUAUACAGUAAGCGGCCAAGCGAAAGCAUUAAGUAUUCCACCUGGGGAGUACGCCGGCAACGGUGAAACUCAAAGGAAUUGACGGGGGCCCGCACAAGCGGAGGAACAUGUGGUUUAAUUCGAUGAUACGCGAGGAACCUUACCCGGGCUUAAAUUGCAGUGGAAUGAUGUGGAAACAUGUCAGUGAGCAAUCACCGCUGUGAAGGUGCUGCAUGGUUGUCGUCAGCUCGUGCCGUGAGGUGUCGGCUUAAGUGCCAUAACGAGCGCAACCCUUAUCUUUAGUUACUAACAGGUUAUGCUGAGGACUCUAGAGAGACUGCCGUCGUAAGAUGUGAGGAAGGUGGGGAUGACGUCAAAUCAGCACGGCCCUUACGUCCGGGGCUACACACGUGUUACAAUGGGGGGUACAGAAGGCAGCUAGCGGGUGACCGUAUGCUAAUCCCAAAAUCCUCUCUCAGUUCGGAUCGAAGUCUGCAACCCGACUUCGUGAAGCUGGAUUCGCUAGUAAUCGCGCAUCAGCCACGGCGCGGUGAAUACGUUCCCGGGCCUUGUACACACCGCCCGUCAAGCCAUGGGAGCCGGGGGUACCUGAAGUACGUAACCGCAAGGAUCGUCCUAGGGUAAAACUGGUGACUGG
This 1437-nucleotide ribosomal RNA is filed under the name uncultured organism. RNAcentral's name for it is "SSU rRNA". It matches the Rfam family "Bacterial small subunit ribosomal RNA". The record is from RNAcentral.